UACGAAGGGUGCAAGCGUUACUCGGAAUUACUGGGCGUAAAGCGUGCGUAGGUGGUUCGUUAAGUCUGAUGUGAAAGCCCUGGGCUCAACCUGGGAAUGGCAUUGGAAACUGGCGACCUAGAGUGCGGUAGAGGGUAGUGGAAUUCCCGGUGUAGCAGUGAAAUGCGUAGAGAUCGGGAGGAACAUCCGUGGCGAAGGCGACUACCUGGACCAAUACUGACGCUCAGGUGCGAAAGCGUGGGGAGCAAACAGG
RNAcentral lists this ribosomal RNA (253 nucleotides) under uncultured bacterium. RNAcentral's name for it is "partial 16S ribosomal RNA". It matches the Rfam family "Bacterial small subunit ribosomal RNA", at positions 524 to 776 of the family's 1533-position model. The record is from RNAcentral.